Molecule: small nuclear RNA, 128 nt
Filed under: Mus pahari (shrew mouse)
Lineage: Eukaryota; Metazoa; Chordata; Mammalia; Rodentia; Muridae
Source: RNAcentral
GCGCUUGCUUUGGAGCACAUAUAAAAGUUGUAUACAGAGGAGAUUAGCACAGCCGCUGUGUAAGGAUGACGUGCAGCCUCUGUGUAAGGAUGACAUGCAGGUUCUUGAAGCAACAAGAGAAAAUAUUU